This 537-nucleotide small RNA is filed under the name Pan troglodytes (chimpanzee). Its description in RNAcentral is "processed transcript". Lineage: Eukaryota; Metazoa; Chordata; Mammalia; Primates; Hominidae. The record is from RNAcentral.
UUCCUCUGCCUCUAGUGAUUUCCUAAAUAAAAACCAAGAGCUGUUGCAAGAUUUGUCAGAAGUGAAUGACGAAAACACUCAGUUGAUGGAAAUACUGAAUACUUUGUUUUUCUUGCCAAUCAGACGACUUCAUAAUUACGCAAAAGUUUUGCUAAAGCUUGCUACUUGUUUUGAAGUGGCAUCUCCAGAAUAUCAGAAACUGCAGGAUUCCAGUUCUUGUUAUGAGUGUCUUGCUCUCCAUCUCGGCAGGAAAAGGAAGGAAGCAGAAUACACACUGGGCUUCUGGAAGACCUUCCCCGGAAAAAUGACGGAUUCCUUGAGGAAGCCAGAGCGUCGACUGCUGUGUGAGAGUAGUAACCGAGCCCUGUCUCUGCAGCAUGCUGGGAGGUUUUCCGUGAAUUGGUUCAUUCUCUUUAAUGAUGCCCUGGUCCAUGCCCAGGAAUGGCUUAAAGAUAACUACACCUGAGGAGCAGUUCACUCUCAUUUCAUCUACACCCCAGGAAAAGACAAAGUGGCUACGAGCUAUAAGCCAAGCCG